This 497-nucleotide ribosomal RNA is filed under the name uncultured bacterium. Its description in RNAcentral is "partial 16S ribosomal RNA". It matches the Rfam family "Bacterial small subunit ribosomal RNA", at positions 28 to 507 of the family's 1533-position model. The record is from RNAcentral.
GAUGAACGCUGGCGGCGUGCCUAAUACAUGCAAGUCGAGCGAACGGACGAGAAGCUUGCUUCUCUGAUGUUAGCGGCGGACGGGUGAGUAACACGUGGAUAACCUACCUAUAAGACUGGGAUAACUUCGGGAAACCGGAGCUAAUACCGGAUAAUAUUUUGAACCGCAUGGUUCAAAAGUGAAAGACGGUCUUGCUGUCACUUAUAGAUGGAUCCGCGCUGCAUUAGCUAGUUGGUAAGGUAACAGCUUACCAAGGCAACGAUGCAUAGCCGACCUGAGAGGGUGAUCGGCCACACUGGAACUGAGACACGGUCCUGACUCCUACGGGAGGCAGCAGUAGGGAAUCUUCCGCAAUGGGCGAAAGCCUGACGGAGCAACGCCGCGUGAGUGAUGAAGGUCUUCGGAUCGUAAAACUCUGUUAUUAGGGAAGAACAUAUGUGUAAGUAACUGUGCACAUCUUGACGGUACCUAAUCAGAAAGCCACGGCUAACUACGUG